This 385-nucleotide long non-coding RNA is filed under the name Zonotrichia albicollis (white-throated sparrow). Its description in RNAcentral is "lncRNA (ENSZALG00000000101.1)". The record is from RNAcentral. Lineage: Eukaryota; Metazoa; Chordata; Aves; Passeriformes; Passerellidae.
CCAGUGCUCCCAGUCCCUCCCAGUCCAUCCCAGUUCACUCCCAGUUUAUCCCAGUCCCUCCCAGUGCCCUCUCAGUCUCUCCCAGUGCUCUCCACAUCUCUCCCAGUCACCGUCUCAGUGCCAUUUCCUCACUCCCAGUGCCUCCCAUUCCCCUCGCUUUGCCUCCCAGUUCACUCCCAGUCCAUCCCAGUGACUCCCAGUCCCUCCCAGUGCCCUCUCAGUCUCUCCCAGUUCCCUCCCAGUCCAUCCCAGUUUAUCCCAGUCCAUCCCAGUUUAUCCCAGUCCCUCCCAGUCCGUCCCAGUCUCACCUUGAGCGCAGGGAUGUCCCCUCCACCCUGACCACGAACUCGUCCCUCUCUCUGAAGAUCCCCUCUGCCCCGCUCUG